This 253-nucleotide ribosomal RNA is filed under the name uncultured bacterium. Its description in RNAcentral is "partial 16S ribosomal RNA". It matches the Rfam family "Bacterial small subunit ribosomal RNA", at positions 524 to 776 of the family's 1533-position model. The record is from RNAcentral.
UACGGGGGGUGCGAGCGUUGUCCGGAAUCACUGGGCGUAAAGGGCGCGUAGGUGGUCUUAUAAGGGUGUGGUGAAAUCCCGGGGCCCAACCCCGGAACUGCAUUCGAAACUGCCUCGCUAGAGUCCCGGAGAGGAAGGCGGAAUUCCCGGUGUAGAGGUGAAAUGCGUAGAGAUCGGGAGGAAGGCCGGUGGCGAAGGCGGCGCUCUGGAACAUUUCUGACGCUGAGGCUCGAAAGCGUGGGGAGCAAACAGG